AAUUAGUUUUUUAAUUGGAAAAUGGAAUGAAUGGUUUCACCAAAGAUCAAAAUUUAAACAAAAUUAUAUGAAAUUUUAAGUUUGAUGAAAAUAUCAAAAAAUACUCACUAGACAAAAAGACCCUAUGAAGCUAUCAAUAAUAAACUUACCUUAAAUAAAAAUAUAUUGAUUUUUUGGGGUAAAGCAUAAAAAUUUUAUUAGAAUAAAAAUCUCCACUCUUAAAAGAUCCCUCAGGAACUAUGAAAAAGCUCCUCUAGGGAUAACAGCAUAAUAAUUAAAAAAGUUCUUAUUA
This 292-nucleotide ribosomal RNA is filed under the name Scottocalanus rotundatus. Its description in RNAcentral is "partial 16S rRNA". Lineage: Eukaryota; Metazoa; Arthropoda; Copepoda; Calanoida; Scolecitrichidae. The record is from RNAcentral.